CUAUUAAGGACUUCGUGCCGUGCUCCCUGGACAACCCCAUUCCGUCCUACGUAGUCGGAAUGUUCAACGACUUGAGCUGCUACCCUCAUCCGGGCUACGUAUAUUAUAACCAAGGAUCAUUCAGUGACUCCUAUUUUAUGGUGGCAACAGACAGAGGAUUGGUUUCAAAUAAGGAAGAUAAGUACUUCCUCGUCGGCGGUGAUGUUUCUUUCCGUCCACAUAGGGAGGUUCCGGAAAACUUAAGGUUCAGAGUUGGAUAUACCAAACAAAAUAAACCUAUUUACAUCGGCACUAUUAACAUCGGAACAGAAGAAAUUUGCGGAUCGGUAAUAGAUGGAGUCUGCUAUGCAUUCAAAGUAUCAAUCCGUUCUGAUGGCGAAAACUACAAGGUCUUGGCUUUGAAUGAAAGAUGAAC
Long non-coding RNA from Cloeon dipterum, 415 nucleotides. RefSeq lists it as uncharacterized. Lineage: Eukaryota; Metazoa; Arthropoda; Insecta; Ephemeroptera; Baetidae. The transcript is spliced from 3 exons. The record is from RefSeq and is a predicted model, not a curated record.